CGGAGGAUCCAAGCGUUAUCCGGAUUUAUUGGGUUUAAAGGGUGCGUAGGCGGCCUAUUAAGUCAGGGGUGAAAGACGGUGGCUCAACCAUCGCAGUGCCUUUGAUACUGAUGGGCUUGAAUGCAGCUGAGGUAGGCGGAAUGUGACAAGUAGCGGUGAAAUGCAUAGAUAUGUCACAGAACACCGAUUGCGAAGGCAGCUUACUAAAGUGCAAUUGACGCUGAGGCACGAAAGCGUGGGGAUCAAACAGGAUUAGAUACCCUGGUAGUCCACGCCCUAAACGAUGAAUACUCGAUGUUAGCGAUAUACAGUUAGCGUCUAAGCGAAAGCGUUAAGUAUUCCACCUGGGGAGUACGCCCGCAAGGGUG
RNAcentral lists this ribosomal RNA (368 nucleotides) under uncultured organism. RNAcentral describes it as "bacterial SSU rRNA". It matches the Rfam family "Bacterial small subunit ribosomal RNA", at positions 526 to 896 of the family's 1533-position model. The record is from RNAcentral.